This 423-nucleotide long non-coding RNA is filed under the name Rattus norvegicus (Norway rat). Its description in RNAcentral is "long non-coding RNA NONRATT002058". The record is from RNAcentral. Lineage: Eukaryota; Metazoa; Chordata; Mammalia; Rodentia; Muridae.
AAGGAAUGUCUCUUGGUACACCUUAGUUCCCUCAUGAUGGCGAUUUAGAAGCCUGACAUUGCCCACCCAGAUUCCAUGACUUCCUGUUUAGCCACAUGAUCUCUUCCUUUUUUUUUAUGAUUUCUCUUUACUCUCAACUAUCUGCAGCUGGGAAUCUCUGCAUUGACGAGUGUGAGCUCUUGGAGAUGGAGGAGAGAGAGAGAGGAGUAUUUUCUGCCCUUGUCAACUGCAGGAAGAAGGCUCUGCAUGGAGUCUCAGGGAAGAAUGGAUUCCACCGAUUGGACGAGCAGGCUGAGGAGGGCAAGCAGCCAGAAGAAGCUGAGUUCACUGCAGGAAUCCCAUCUGCUUCUCUGUACAUUAUGUGGCUUGUGUAUCUGCUUUGACAUUUGUUUUAUUAGUAUAUUUGAACAUGCUGGUUACGGU